RNAcentral lists this ribosomal RNA (468 nucleotides) under uncultured bacterium. RNAcentral's name for it is "partial 16S ribosomal RNA". It matches the Rfam family "Bacterial small subunit ribosomal RNA", at positions 28 to 507 of the family's 1533-position model. The record is from RNAcentral.
GACGAACGCUGGCGGCGUGCUUAACACAUGCAAGUCGAACGGAAAGGUCCUGCUUUUGUGGGGUGCUCGAGUGGCGAACGGGUGAGUAACACGUGAGUAACCUGCCCUUGACUUUGGGGUAACUUCAGGAAACUGGGGCUAAUAUCGGAUAAGAGCUCCUGCUGCAUGGUGGGGGAUGGUAAGUUUCGGCGGUUGGGGAUGGUCUCGCGGCUUAUCGGCUUGUUGGUGGGGUAGUGGCUUACCAAGGCUUUGACGGGUAGCCGGCCUGAGAGGGUGACCGGCCACAUUGGGACUGAGAUACGGCCCAGACUCCUACGGGAGGCAACAGUGGGGAAUAUUGCACAAUGGGCGGAAGCCUGAUGCAGCAACGCCGCGUGCGGGAUGACGGCCUUCGGGUUGUAAACCGCUUUCGCCUGUGACGAAGCGUGAGUGACGGUAAUGGGUAAAGAAGCACCGGCUAACUACGUG